GGCGAGCGGCGAACGGGUGAGUAACGCGAGGGAACCUACCCUCUGGGGGGGGAUAACCCGGGGAAACCCGGGCUAAUACCGCAUGAGCCCUACGGGGGAAAGCUGGGGAUCCCGGCCACGGGACCUGGCGCCAGAGGAUGGGCCCGCGUCCUAUCAGCUUGUUGGUGGGGUAACGGCCUACCAAGGCGAUGACGGGUAGCUGGCCUGAGAGGGUGGCCAGCCACACUGGAACUGAGACACGGCCCAGACUCCUACGGGAGGCAGCAGUCGGGAAUAUUGGGCAAUGGGCGAAAGCCUGACCCAGCCAUGCCGCGUGCGGGAAGAAGGCCUGCGGGUCGUAAACCGCUUUCAGCCGGGGACGAUGCGUCUCCGGGUGAACAGCUCGGGGACGUGACGUUACCCGCAGAAGAAGCGCCGGCUAACUCCGUGCCAGCAGCCGCGGUAAUACGGAGGGCGCGAGCGUUACUCGGAGUCACUGGGCGUAAAGCGUCCGUAGGCGGUCGGGUAAGUCGGGUGUGAAAGCCCCGGGCUUAACCUGGGAAGUGCACCCGAUACUGCUCGACUCGAGUGCGGGAGAGGAUGGCGGAAUUCCCUGGGGUAGCGGUGAAAUGCGUAGAUCUCGGGAGGAACACCAGUGGCGAAGGCGGCCAUCUGGCCCGUAACUGACGCUGAGGGACGAAAGCGUGGGGAGCAAACAGGAUUAGAUACUGUGGUAGUNCACGCCAUAAACAGAUGCUGGACUAGCUGUUGGGCCCGAUUGGGGUUCAGUGGCGAAGCUCACGCGUUAAGUCGGCCGCCUGGGGAGUACAGCCGCAAGGCUGAAACUCAAAUGAAUUGACGGGGGCCCGCACAAGCGGUGGAGCGUGUGGUUUAAUUCGAUGCAACGCGAAGAACCUUACCCACCCUUGACAUGCGCCGGAACCUCCCAGAGAUGGGAGGGUGCCCUUCGGGGAACCGGUGCACAGGUGCUGCAUGGCUGUCGUCAGCUCGUACCGUGAGGUGUCGGGUUAAGUCCCGUAACGAGCGCAACCCUUGCCCCUAGUUGCCAGCGGUUCGGCCGGGCACUCUAGGGGGACUGCCGGCGAUAAGCCGGAGGAAGGUGGGGAUGACGUCAAGUCAUCAUGGCCCUUAAGGGUGGGGCUACACACGCGCUACAAUGGCCGGUACAGAGGGUUGCGAAGCCGCGAGGCGGAGCCAAUCCCAGAAAGCCGGUCGUAGUCCGGAUUGCAGUCUGCAACUUGACUGCAUGAAGCCGGAAUCGCUAGUAAUCGCGGAUCAGCAACGCCGCGGUGAAUACGUUCCCGGGCCUUGUACACACCGCCCGUCACACCAUGGGAGUCGGCUGCAC
Molecule: ribosomal RNA, 1348 nt
Filed under: uncultured Gammaproteobacteria bacterium
Lineage: Bacteria; Pseudomonadati; Pseudomonadota; Gammaproteobacteria
Description: uncultured gamma proteobacterium 16S ribosomal RNA
Rfam family: Bacterial small subunit ribosomal RNA
Source: RNAcentral